UACGUAGGUGGCAAGCGUUAUCCGGAUUUAUUGGGUUUAAAGGGAGCGUAGGCGGUUUUGUAAGUCAGUGGUGAAAGACGGUCGCUCAACGAUCACAUUGCCAUUGAUACUGCAAAGCUAGAGUACAGUAGAGGUGGGCGGAAUUUAUGGUGUAGCGGUGAAAUGCAUAGAUACCAUAAAGAACACCGAUUGCGUAGGCAGCUCACUGGACUGUAACUGACGCUGAGGCUCGAAAGUGUGGGUAUCAAACAG
This 252-nucleotide ribosomal RNA is filed under the name uncultured bacterium. RNAcentral describes it as "partial 16S ribosomal RNA". It matches the Rfam family "Bacterial small subunit ribosomal RNA", at positions 524 to 775 of the family's 1533-position model. The record is from RNAcentral.